Molecule: ribosomal RNA, 840 nt
Filed under: uncultured eukaryote
Lineage: Eukaryota
Description: SSU rRNA
Rfam family: Eukaryotic small subunit ribosomal RNA
Source: RNAcentral
CGGUGUUCAACUGGCGUGCCCGCGGGACGUCCUGCCGGUGAGCUCAGCCCGCGAGGGCGGCUCAACUUGAAAUCCCAUCGCGGUGCUCUUCAUUGAGUGUCGAGGUGGGCCGGCACGAUUACUUUUUGAACAAAUUAGAGUGCUUAAAGCAGGCUAAAAUUUUGCCUGAAUACUGUGUAUAUGGAAUAAUGGAAUAGGACCUCGGUUCUAUUUUGUUGGUUUUCGGAACCCCGAGGUAAUGAUUAAUAGGAACGGAUGGGGGCAUUCGUAUUGCGACGUUAGAGGUGAAAUUCUUGGAUCGUCGCAAGACGGACUAAAGCGAAAGCAUUUGCCAAAAACGCUUUCAUUGAUCAAGAACGAAAGUUAGAGGUUCGAAGGCGAUCAGAUACCGCCCUAGUUCUAACCAUAAACUAUGCCAGCUAGCGAUCCGCCGACGUCCCUCUGAUGACUCGGCGGGCAGCUUCCGGGAAACCAAAGCUUUUGGGUUCCGGGGGAAGUAUGGUUGCAAAGCUGAAACUUAAAGGAAUUGACGGAAGGGCACCACCAGGAGUGGAGCCUGCGGCUUAAUUUGACUCAACACGGGAAACCUCACCAGGCCCAGACACUGGAAGGAUUGACAGAUUGAGAGCUCUUUCUUGAUUCAGUGGGUGGUGGUGCAUGGCCGUUCUUAGUCGGUGGAGCGAUUUGUCAGGUUAAUUCCGAUAACGGACGAGACUCUGACCUGAUAACUAGACGCACUUGCGGCAUCUCAAAGGUCCGCCGGCGGCUGGCUUUGCGCCCGUCGUCGCGCGCGAUUUUUACUGCCGGCGUACAAUAAAUUCUUCUUAGAGGGACAAGUGG